This 430-nucleotide unclassified non-coding RNA is filed under the name Hevea brasiliensis (rubber tree). The record is from RNAcentral. Lineage: Eukaryota; Viridiplantae; Streptophyta; Magnoliopsida; Malpighiales; Euphorbiaceae.
GGUUAGCAUAACAAACCAAGAAAGUCCAUACACCAGUAAAUUUCUGCUGCCGUGAGCUAUAUCAAGGUGAUAGACAAUUCCAUACUGGAAAAUGAAAAAGCGGAAGGCAAGGAUAAUGUCAAUCACUCUACCCCUUAGAUUUGUGUGUUUUAGAUGUUCCUGCUCCCCAUUCCACCAAGAUUCCCAACUUUUAUCCGGUGAAAUCCCAAUGCCUCCACGAUUUCCCAUCCACCUCUUCCAAUCUGUCCAAUCAUCUACUGUCUUUUGCCAGUCGAAACCAGACGGAUUGAACACAAAGGGAGCAAACAACCAGGAACCUACCAAGAACCAAAUUGAAAUAGUAACAAACAAGUAUAACUGUGAUUCACGAUAUGAUUCCCCAUAGACUUCAUAGACAAUUAACAGCAUAAACAGCUCAAGCCCCUUGACA